Molecule: ribosomal RNA, 484 nt
Filed under: uncultured bacterium
Lineage: Bacteria
Description: partial 16S ribosomal RNA
Rfam family: Bacterial small subunit ribosomal RNA
Source: RNAcentral
GGGGGGGGGGGGGGGCGGGGCGGGCGGGGGGGGGGCGGGCGGAGGAGGGGGGCUGGCGGCUGGAUUCAGGGGCGGACGGGGGAGUCAUGCCUAGGGAUCUGCCUGUGAGUGGGGGAGAACGGACGGGAGCGGGCGCUAAUGCCGCCUCCGUCCGUAUGGCGAAAUUUGGGGAUCUUCGGACCUCACGCUAACAGAUGAGCAUAGGUCGGAUGCGCUAGUUGGUGCGUUAAAGGCCUACCAAGGCUACGAUCCGUAACUGGUCUGACAGGAUGAUCAGUCACACUGGAACUGAGACACGGUCCAGACUACUACGGGAGGCAGCAGGGGGGAAUAUUGGACAAUGGGCGAAAGCCUGAUCCAGCCAUGCCGCGUGUGUGAAGAAGGUCUUCGGAUUGUAAAGCACUUUAAGUUGGGAGGAAGGGAAGUAAGUUAAUCCCUUGCUGUUUUGACGUUACCAACAGAAUAAGCACCGGCUAACUUCGUG